AUGAACCCUCACCAUUUGAUGUGCUACCUUGGGAUGGAGUUCUACUCCAAAACUUCUGGAGGACCAUAUGUUGCCUACUUCAGUGCUAAAGCUAAGAAGUUUUUGUACAGUGUUGUGUCACUGUGGUACGUCUUCGGUGGAGGGACCCAUCUGACGGUCACUGGUCAACCAACAGUACCGCCUUCAGUGCUGCUCUUCCCUCCAUCCCAGGAAGAGAUCAAGACCAACAAGAAAGCCACCUUGGCCUGUUUGAUGGAUGGCUUUUAUCCGGGUCUCAUCCAAGUCAGCUGGCAGGCUGAUGGCACGGCCAUCUCCUCGGGAGUGGAGACAUCCAAGCCCACCAAACAGGAUGACAAGUACGUGGCCAGCAGUUACCUGACCCUGAGUGACUCAGAGUGGGAACGCCAUGACAUUUACGACUGCAAGGUGACACAUGACGGGAAGACCAUCACAAAGACGGUGAACAGACUGGAGUGUUCUUAAAGAUUGGGUGACUCAAUGGUGGCCCUCAUCCCUCUGGCCACCAGGAAGAAAGCAUCCUUCCUCCAGGAGGCCAGAUCCAUUGUCUUGUUUCCUCCUAAUGCUAGUUUGACAGAUAAAGGCUGUUUUCUGUUCUAUGUAGUUCUCCUCCCAGAACCAUCUCCAUGUCUGUAUGCCCUGGGACUCCCUUUGUAUGUCUGCUUAAUGUUAACACAUGAAUAAAAUUUGAUAUAUUUCA
Molecule: non-coding RNA, 718 nt
Organism: Elgaria multicarinata webbii
Lineage: Eukaryota; Metazoa; Chordata; Lepidosauria; Squamata; Anguidae
Source: the annotation of a RefSeq genome assembly